This 1634-nucleotide ribosomal RNA is filed under the name Staphylococcus aureus. RNAcentral's name for it is "partial 23S ribosomal RNA". It matches the Rfam family "Bacterial large subunit ribosomal RNA", at positions 580 to 2217 of the family's 2925-position model. Lineage: Bacteria; Bacillati; Bacillota; Bacilli; Caryophanales; Staphylococcaceae. The record is from RNAcentral.
CCCGUUAAUGGGUGAUGGCGUGCCUUUUGUAGAAUGAACCGGCGAGUUACGAUUUGAUGCAAGGUUAAGCAGUAAAUGUGGAGCCGUAGCGAAAGCGAGUCUGAAUAGGGCGUUUAGUAUUUGGUCGUAGACCCGAAACCAGGUGAUCUACCCUUGGUCAGGUUGAAGUUCAGGUAACACUGAAUGGAGGACCGAACCGACUUACGUUGAAAAGUGAGCGGAUGAACUGAGGGUAGCGGAGAAAUUCCAAUCGAACCUGGAGAUAGCUGGUUCUCUCCGAAAUAGCUUUAGGGCUAGCCUCAAGUGAUGAUUAUUGGAGGUAGAGCACUGUUUGGACGAGGGGCCCCUCUCGGGUUACCGAAUUCAGACAAACUCCGAAUGCCAAUUAAUUUAACUUGGGAGUCAGAACAUGGGUGAUAAGGUCCGUGUUCGAAAGGGAAACAGCCCAGACCACCAGCUAAGGUCCCAAAAUAUAUGUUAAGUGGAAAAGGAUGUGGCGUUGCCCAGACAACUAGGAUGUUGGCUUAGAAGCAGCCAUCAUUUAAAGAGUGCGUAAUAGCUCACUAGUCGAGUGACACUGCGCCGAAAAUGUACCGGGGCUAAACAUAUUACCGAAGCUGUGGAUUGUCCUUUGGACAAUGGUAGGAGAGCGUUCUAAGGGCGUUGAAGCAUGAUCGUAAGGACAUGUGGAGCGCUUAGAAGUGAGAAUGCCGGUGUGAGUAGCGAAAGACGGGUGAGAAUCCCGUCCACCGAUUGACUAAGGUUUCCAGAGGAAGGCUCGUCCGCUCUGGGUUAGUCGGGUCCUAAGCUGAGGCCGACAGGCGUAGGCGAUGGAUAACAGGUUGAUAUUCCUGUACCACCUAUAAUCGUUUUAAUCGAUGGGGGGACGCAGUAGGAUAGGCGAAGCGUGCGAUUGGAUUGCACGUCUAAGCAGUAAGGCUGAGUAUUAGGCAAAUCCGGUACUCGUUAAGGCUGAGCUGUGAUGGGGAGAAGACAUUGUGUCUUCGAGUCGUUGAUUUCACACUGCCGAGAAAAGCCUCUAGAUAGAAAAUAGGUGCCCGUACCGCAAACCGACACAGGUAGUCAAGAUGAGAAUUCUAAGGUGAGCGAGCGAACUCUCGUUAAGGAACUCGGCAAAAUGACCCCGUAACUUCGGGAGAAGGGGUGCUCUUUAGGGUUAACGCCCAGAAGAGCCGCAGUGAAUAGGCCCAAGCGACUGUUUAUCAAAAACACAGGUCUCUGCUAAACCGUAAGGUGAUGUAUAGGGGCUGACGCCUGCCCGGUGCUGGAAGGUUAAGAGGAGUGGUUAGCUUCUGCGAAGCUACGAAUCGAAGCCCCAGUAAACGGCGGCCGUAACUAUAACGGUCCUAAGGUAGCGAAAUUCCUUGUCGGGUAAGUUCCGACCCGCACGAAAGGCGUAACGAUUUGGGCACUGUCUCAACGAGAGACUCGGUGAAAUCAUAGUACCUGUGAAGAUGCAGGUUACCCGCGACAGGACGGAAAGACCCCGUGGAGCUUUACUGUAGCCUGAUAUUGAAAUUCGGCACAGCUUGUACAGGAUAGGUAGGAGCCUUUGAAACGUGAGCGCUAGCUUACGUGGAGGCGCUGGUGGGAUACUACCCUAGCUGUGUUGG